UAGUGUUCUUCAUUCUUCAGUUCCAGAAAAGAAGAGCAAAACCCUAAAUCCCAAAUAGACGGAGGAACUGGAGCACUAAAUUGCCGGCUUCAAUUUCAGCAGAGAAAGCAUUCGAAUUGGGUGAGUCCCAUUCUGAUCCAGUUAUGUUUGGUUUUUGCUGUAAAAGAUUGCAAUGACUAGUUCCAAGCUGUAGGAUUGCUGUUGAUUAUUCAGUCACCCAUCUUCAAAAGGCACCACCUUUUACAAGAUUAUAUUCAUCAAAACCAUUAUUAGGGGUCCAAGAUGAUAAAGCUCGCUCUUUUACAGUUUCAUACCUUAUAAACUCAUUUGGGUUCUCCCCACAACUGGCUCUCUCUGCGUCCAACAAGAUGAAGGUACGCUUCGACACCCCAGAAAAACCCGACUCUGUUAUUAAGCUUUUUAAAGACUAUGGACUCAGUGAUGCCCACAUCUCUGACAUUGUUAAGAAAUGCCCAGUUUUGCUUGUAUCCAAUGCUGAAAAGACCCUUUGGCCAAAACUCCAGUUUUUCACUUCCAUUGGCCUUUCGGGCAAUGACCUUGCCCGGAUCUUCCGUGUCAACUUGCGUUAUCUUGACAUUGAGCUUAGAGAGAAGUAUUAGACCUUGUUAUGAUAUUAUGAAAACUCUAGAAAUACCUGAGCAUAAGGUCCCUUAUUUCAUUAGCAACUAUUAUAUGUUUAACCCCAAAGUAUUGAGCAAUGUACCUCACAACACUUUGAUUCUGAGAGCGCAACAGGUGCCAGAAGCGUCAUUUCCUCUGUGGGUGUGUUCUCAUUUGCUUGCACUGUCAUUUGACUCUGAGAAGGUUAAGACAAAUGUCGAGAAGGUCAUCAGCAUGGGAUUUGACCCUUCGUCUACUACAUUCAUGAAAGCUUUGUAUGUGGUAUCGGUGACCAAUGCAGCAAAGUGGAAACACAAGAUGGAAUUUUAUGAGAAGUGGGGUUGGACUGAAGAUGAUGUGUUGUUGGCAUUUAGAAAGAAUCCCAUGUUUAUGAGCUUCAGUGUGAAGAAUAUUUCAGCUAAAAUGGAUUUUCUUUUGAAUAAAAUGGGUUGCCAGCCUUCAGAUCUGGCUGCACGUCCAGAUAUUCUGACUUAUAGUUUGGAGAAGCAAAUCAUACCUAGGUGUUCAGUCAUCAGAUUUCUCCAGUUAAAGGGCUUAAUUGUCAAGGAAGAUUUAUAUAUAAUUAGCAUUGUGCACAAAAACGAGAAGUGGUUCUUGGAAAGGUUUGUGAUCAAAUAUGAAGAACAAGCACCUGAAUUGCAGAGCAUCUUACAGGGGAAAAUGGGUCUAGGCGAAUUUGGUUUAGGAUUCGACGAAAGUGGUUGAGUCACUCGAGUGUAACAAUUGUAGGACGAAGCUUGUUGAUUUAUCCUGCAUUCUAGUUUGAUGAUUCAGAGGAUUAAGUUCUCGUACAAAUGUCAACUCUUGCUCUGUGUCAAGUUUUACAGUAUCAUAUCCUUUGCUUGACCAAAUAUGCUGUCCUUAAACCACUUAGUUCUGAGAGAUGAAGUCUUGGAGACAGGGAGAGGUGUAGGACUCCAAUUGGAUUGCUGUACAAGUUUAUUUUUGCAGGUUGAACUCAGUCAAACUGCCUAAACUCCGAGGCUUAAGGAAAGUCUCUAUCAACAGCUGGAUUUUAGAGUCUAUUCAAAAAAAUGGAUGGUUACUGAACUGAUUCAUCAGCAGAGGACACUUCAAAUUUCAUUAAUAUUUCUGUCUAAAGAGAGUAAUUGUUGGGAAUCGAGGGUUUAGCCAUGGGUGCAAAAAGUUUGCUCUAAGAUGCCUGCUUGUGUUUUGCUGCUCUAACAUGGUUAACUCGAGUGUGAAGUGCAUCUCGAGUUAGUUUGUUAACAUUUACUGCUCUAUUGAGCAUGGAAUGACAUGUAAAGACAGCAUUUGGGAUUCUCUGUCAACUUCUUUUCUUUACAUUUGAUCUGUAUACUGUUGAUUUAAAGAGCAGAAUCAAGCUUAUCAUAC
Rosa chinensis is the source of this 1998-nucleotide RNA transcript. It is a transcript of the gene named transcription termination factor MTERF15, mitochondrial, with no coding region annotated. The transcript is spliced from 2 exons. The record is from RefSeq and is a predicted model, not a curated record. Lineage: Eukaryota; Viridiplantae; Streptophyta; Magnoliopsida; Rosales; Rosaceae.